GACGAACGCUGGCGGCGUGCUUAACACAUGCAAGUCGAACGGAAAGGCCCUGCCUUUGUGGGGUGCUCGAGUGGCGAACGGGUGAGUAACACGUGAGUGACCUGCCCUGGACUUCGGGAUAACUUUAGGAAACUGGGGCUAAUACCGGAUAGGAGCUCCUGUUGGAUGGUGUGGGGGGGAAAGUUUCGGCGGGGGGGGAUGGAGCCGCGGCUUAUCAGCUUGUUGGUGGGGUAGUGGCUUACCAAGGCGUCGACGGGUAGCCGGCCUGAGAGGGUGACCGGCCACAUUGGGACUGAGAUACGGCCCAGACUCCUACGGGAGGCAGCAGUGGGGAAUAUUGCACAAUGGGCGGAAGCCUGAUGCAGCAACGCCGCGUGCGGGAUGACGGCCUUCGGGUUGUAAACCGCUUUCGCCUGUGACGAAGCGUGAGUGACGGUAAUGGGUAAAGAAGCACCGGCUAACUACGUG
This 468-nucleotide ribosomal RNA is filed under the name uncultured bacterium. Its description in RNAcentral is "partial 16S ribosomal RNA". It matches the Rfam family "Bacterial small subunit ribosomal RNA", at positions 28 to 507 of the family's 1533-position model. The record is from RNAcentral.